GGAUUCUUAUAUAUAUAUAUUCAUGUUAGGGCUCAUAUCCAUACCCCCAUAUAUAUAAAGUGUUUUUAUUGUUACUGUGCUUACUACAAAUAGAUGAGGAUCAACAUGUGACACACCCCAGCUUUUCAAGCAUUAUAUGUUGUGUCAGACUUUUUUUAUGUGAAAUAGACUGAUGCAUGUAUACAUGUAUACAGGUGUAGAGAUAUGUGUAGUUGUACAUGUUUCAGUAAGUAUUCUAUGCCAGUAAAGGCUGUGAACAUUGUUGAAUGCAAAUAAUUUGAAUAAAUCAAAGAUAGGCAGAUACUUGUGUUGGCAGAUAUAAUGCUGGUUAGCUAGUAAUUAUCAUUGUAUGCUUUAUUAUGAUUAAUCCUCUAAGGAUGCACACAAGACAGAAAAAAUAAGUAAUUACAAGUUUUCAAAGUUAUUAUUAGUGAGGAGUGGGACACUGAAGCAGGGUUAUAACGUGUAUUUCUCUGUUUGAGAGUAACCCGAGUUUCAUCUGACCUAAACACCAAACAUAAGACACUUAGAUAGAGAGAUGUCCUUUCUGAGACAUAAUGAUCUUACCAUCAAAAUGUCUAAUGUCUGGCAGUAGGGCAAGAAGAAACUCAUUGGUGUGCUUAUUUGGAUUUUCAGAACAAUGUUAUGAGUAUUUGAAAUGCAGAUUUGGUUGGUGGAAUGGGCAUGUUUGUUUAACUUUCUAAAAGUUCAUUUCAAGGCUUUUUAAAAUAUUCCACAUUAAUGAUAUCUCAAGUUUUUUUUUUGUUUUUUUUUUGUUUUUGUAUUUUUUAAACAGGACCAUGUGAAACAAGCAAUCAACAACAUUUGAAUAAAGUUUAUUUUGUGUUUCAGGUAUUCCCCUUACUUGUAAGGUCUGGAGCUGUCUCAAUUUUACUAGCUAGCUUGGUGUACAAAAUUUAAUGUGAACAUUGGCUUAUGGAUGAUUCUGCCUAAUAUAUGACAUCAAAGGUACAUCAGCUUUAGGACUUUAUUCAUGUGGUGUGACCAAUACUAGAGGAUAAAUACCAUCCCCUGCCACCAGAGAGAGCAGAUUUAGGCAUAGUUUCCCUUAGCUACCAUCUCCAACUGUUCUGUGUCAUUGAUUAAAAUUACAUAACUUAA
Pecten maximus is the source of this 1122-nucleotide long non-coding RNA. RefSeq lists it as uncharacterized. The record is from RefSeq and is a predicted model, not a curated record. Lineage: Eukaryota; Metazoa; Mollusca; Bivalvia; Pectinida; Pectinidae. The transcript is spliced from 2 exons.